Molecule: long non-coding RNA, 2092 nt
Organism: Equus caballus (horse)
Lineage: Eukaryota; Metazoa; Chordata; Mammalia; Perissodactyla; Equidae
Source: RefSeq, a predicted model, not a curated record
UUGGGACUGAAGAGGCUGAGCGGCUCAGGAGGCCUGCUCUGGGACACCUCCCCGCUGGGCGCUGGCUGUCCCACACCUGCUGGCCAGAAGGUGGCACUGUCCCACACUUUAUGGGCCCCGGAGGCGAAAGAGAGCAGAGAAAUUCCUGUUUUAUCCCCAAAAUGCUACUUAAGAUCAGGGGAAAGAUCGUGGGCAUUUGGAUCAGUUAUCUGGAAGAAAAGAAUCCUGAAAAUAAAGCGAUGAGUACAACCUCCCUUCAGGUUCUGAUCCGAGUUCCGUCACUCAAGGACCAUCCCAGAGGCGAGAAGAGAGGUGCCAGCUCUGCCUGGAAAUCCCGCAGGAGAGGCCGGUGGGGCUGAGCACCCGCUUCUGCUUUUCUAAGUGAUUGGGAAGAAUGCGCGCCAGCCAACAGCAGUCGCCAUUCUUAGGGGCUCCAAACACACGCACGUGCCGCCUCGCAGCCCCUCCUGCUCUGAUGCUGGGGACGCUCCGCCGUCAGCCAUGGCAGCUUGAUUUACUGUGGCUGGGACAGCGCCAGGGCUGUUCCGGCUCAAGAUGGGGCGUCAGGCCUGCUAUCUGUGUCCCGAUGGGACCAGGAGCCAUCCCACCGGUGGAAGCACCCUUGAGUGCCAGUGUUUCAAGGAACAACCACUCAGCAGGGUGGCCCUGGUGAGACAACCGCUGAAAGGUUUCAAUACCAUCGUGUGUGCAUUUUCCGAUGGAUACACAUCCACGUGUGGAUAAAAUCGUCGCUUACAUUUUGCGUCGUGCACUGGAGCAUCCCCGUAACGUUUCCUAUAAAGCAGGCAGCAUGUGGUCCUGUCUGUGACGAGGCACUUUGGGGUGAGAAGGAGCAAGUGUGACACCUGCUUGUGUCUCAGCGGUGGCUGUGUGGAGUGCGCAGCCCCGAGCCGGGUCUGACGCCUGAGUCGGUCUGAUACCUGAGUAGGAUCGGAUCUCUGGCCGAGAUCCCCAUGGGCCGUGUGACAGUCAGUUUGACGUGUGGACUCAGCCAGGCUGUGGUGCCCAAGUCUUUGACCCCACCCUAAUCUGAGUGUUGCUGAGAAGGCUUUGGGCAGAUGUGGUCAACCCCUACGACCAGUAGCUUUCAGAGACCCGGAUAAUCUGGGGGGGCCUCACCCAAUCAGGUGAAGGGCUUAGGAGCAAAAUCCGAGGUUCCCCUGAGACGAGGAAUUCUGCCUCAAGACAGAAGCAUCCGCUCCUGCUGGAGUUUUCAGCCUUCCGCCAGCCUUACAGGUUUCGGGCUUGCCCGGCCCGACAGUCCGGCGAGACAGUUCCUUAAGACGGAUCCCUUUCAGAGCUUCUCUCCCCUGUUGGUUCUGUCUCUCUGGGGAGCCCUGAUCCGUACUGGCUGAGACCCACAGGGAUGUCAAGCCUGAGCCACGUAAGAGGACAGCAGUCUUGGCCGCUGAGGGUCUGCGAAAAUCAGAAAUGAGCUUCUCUGGCCCUCUUUCGGACCUUCUCGGAAUCUUGAGUUGUUUUCCAAGGAGUGUGUGUGUGUGUGGGGGGGGCCAGUGACAUGUGACAUGGACGUGCAGGACACGCAUCACCGCAUGUGCACCUACAUCAGGUGAGACCGGCUACACACCUGCGUUCACGGCCAUGGGCGGGGGGUCCCAGGAGACGGCUCCUCUGGCGGUGGACUUCCGGGGUGGACCACGGGACUCCUUAUGGACACGGACGGAAUAAUACCGAUGAGCCUGGAAUACACACUAGGGGUUUGUAGUGCCGUGUUGUGCAGCAGAGCAGAAGUCGUCCCGCUGGACUCCCACUCACGUCGCCCACCCCGGCUUUCCACGAGCUUGAAGCAGAGCAGGCUGUUGGCUCUUCCGGGCUCAGUGUGCGAAGGGCUCAAAUCAGGACCUGCCCUUCCAGUUCUGGGGAGCGGAUGCCUUGAUGCAGGCGAGGCCCUCAGGAAAGUGCCCCACUGUGGGACACCACGUAAGGACAUACGCUUUCAUUAUUCAAAUGACCAGUUCCUGCCCUACCACUGGAGUUGGGCUCAAGCCCCAGCACCACCACAAACAAGCUCUGUGGCUUUAGGUGAGUUCUUUGACCUCUCUGAGCCUGG